Molecule: long non-coding RNA, 37260 nt
Filed under: Capsella grandiflora
Lineage: Eukaryota; Viridiplantae; Streptophyta; Magnoliopsida; Brassicales; Brassicaceae
Description: long non-coding RNA (CGRA_LNC001389)
Source: RNAcentral
GGUAGCUUGGUGGCUCGCCAGAGAAUGGACCCAAGUACUUGACUCGGUCAGAUCCGUACCAUGGGCUUCCUGAUGGUCCCUUUGGCUUGGCAACGGUCUUCCUCAUCGUCACACGGCCGCUUCCAAGGACUUCAGAUGCUGCGGGGGAAAGCUUGACGGCCUUUCCGGCGAAAGCAGGGGAGGAGAGAGCCAUUGUUGAGGCGGCCAUUGAGGUUGAGAGUUGCACAAAGUAAAAAACGUUUAAGAGUUGUUGUUGUAAGCCAAGAAAUGGGUGGUUUGGCACUGAUGGGAUUUUCAGUAUAUAUAAUAUGAAAAUCUAAAGUAACCUCUUAUCCUGUAAUAUCCAAUCUCUAGAGUUUUUAUUGGCUACUCACAAAUUUUUAUUUUGGAAUCCUAGAUUUUUUUGUUUGCUUACGUGGUUUAUAGCUAACACUUGGCAGAUUCGGAACUGAUUUGUGUCUUAAGAUAUCUUUGGUGCGUUUCAGGGAUUCGUGAAACACCCACUCAUGACGUGACACGUAUAAGACUUGAUCUCUCUAUCCUUUUGAAAUCUUGAGUCUAUCAAACAAAAAAUUAAGGAUAAUUGCAUAUUACAUUCUAUAUGUAUAUGAUCUGUUUCUAUUUUUUUAUAAAGUUAAAGAAAAUAAUAACAGUUUACUAUAGAUAGACAAUUAAAACAAAAGUAAAUAAAACAAUAAAAUAUAAGUAUUGGAAUUAAGUUAUCAAAUUUAUUUUAUAAAAGUAAUGGGGAUAGUUAUCUAAAAAUGCAGAAAUGUAAUCAAACUUAAACUCCUACAAACCAUAUAUUGAUCGUCAUAAUAUAUCACAAGAAGAGGAAAAAUGAAACAUUUCAUUAGUGGCUUUAUAUGAUAAUGUUUAAUGUACUAAUGUCAGGACAAAAGUGGCAUCAACCAGAUCAUCGUGAUGGUCAUGGUCACAAGACAACUCCAGAAUUACGAGUCAUGGUCAUAUACUCAUAGCCACAAGUCAGCUUCUACCUUACACUCUUCAAACGGCUAUGACAGACAACGGCCACAAUAAACAAGCCAACAAAUCCAUCUAAUACCGUAGAAUCGUAGAUAGACCCAACAACGGCUACAUUUACGGCCGCAAUAAGGUCAAUGGAUUAGAAAAGCUUUCAAAGGAUUCUAACAUUUUUCUCACUUGAAAAUUCAUUGAUCAUAGAAACUCAAACCUUAGAGAGUGCACUCUAUAGCGUGUGGGUAAGGUUGAGUGAUAGUAAGAAAAAAAAAGUGCUUUGAAGAAAAAUCUCUGUUGUUGGAAUAAAAGACUGUUUUAAAUGCCGUAGCAUAAUUCUUCAAUGUAUUUGAAUAAUGAUGAACAAUUAAUUAUCUCAGUAUUUCGUCGCGUUUCGAUAAAAAGUAACAAAGCAGAGAGAGUUUAAAGAGACAAUACAUUAUUCAUUAGAUGAUUUUAAAGAUGAAAUACGCUACUCAUGAGAUCUCUUGGGUUAUUGGAUUAAGUGCCGAUGCUUCUGAAUCUUGUGAACAUGUAUAUAUAAUGAUGUUGGACUUACUAUUGAAAGUAUUGGUAGUCAUGAUCAAAACAUAGUAUAUGCGGGUAAAUGCUACUUUAAUACAAUGUAUCGAUCAUCGACAUUUGAAAGUGUUAAUUUUACUUAAGUUGUAGCCAAAACAACACAAAUCAUUAAGCUCUUGUCAGGAGCUAAAUUCAUACAAAAUUUAAGUUCUUAUACAAAGCAAAGUAGGUUUACAAAAAAAAAUAAAAAAUACAAAGCAAAGUCACGAGGGUGUUACCGUUAAAGUAUACGACGGCUCAUAAUGUGGUCACAAAAUGCUUUGGCUGCAAUGUAAAAAUCAAAGCAAAAGCUCGUGGCUUAGAGAUUGCCACGUAAGACUAAGAAACGAUAAACAAAAAUCUCAAGAACCCAAUGAAUAAAGAGAUAAAGAUUACAAGAGAGAUAACAAACCAUACUCACAAUAUCCCUAUAUAAUCCAAACCUACCUAACCAUUGUCACUCACUCUCACUCACAAGUUAGUCACCAAAAAAAAAACCAAAAACAUUUCAAUGGCUGCCUCAACAAUGGCUCUCUCNNNNNNNNNNNNNNNNNNNNNNNNNNNNNNNNNNNNNNNNNNNNNNNNNNNNNNNNNNNNNNNNNNNNNNNNNNNNNNNNNNNNNNNNNNNNNNNNNNNNNNNNNNNNNNNNNNNNNNNNNNNNNNNNNNNNNNNNNNNNNNNNNNNNNNNNNNNNNNNNNNNNNNNNNNNNNNNNNNNNNNNNNNNNNNNNNNNNNNNNNNNNNNNNNNNNNNNNNNNNNNNNNNNNNNNNNNNNNNNNNNNNNNNNNNNNNNNNNNNNNNNNNNNNNNNNNNNNNNNNNNNNNNNNNNNNNNNNNNNNNNNNNNNNNNNNNNNNNNNNNNNNNNNNNNNNNNNNNNNNNNNNNNNNNNNNNNNNNNNNNNNNNNNNNNNNNNNNNNNNNNNNNNNNNNNNNNNNNNNNNNNNNNNNNNNNNNNNNNNNNNNNNNNNNNNNNNNNNNNNNNNNNNNNNNNNNNNNNNNNNNNNNNNNNNNNNNNNNNNNNNNNNNNNNNNNNNNNNNNNNNNNNNNNNNNNNNNNNNNNNNNNNNNNNNNNNNNNNNNNNNNNNNNNNNNNNNNNNNNNNNNNNNNNNNNNNNNNNNNNNNNNNNNNNNNNNNNNNNNNNNNNNNNNNNNNNNNNNNNNNNNNNNNNNNNNNNNNNNNNNNNNNNNNNNNNNNNNNNNNNNNNNNNNNNNNNNNNNNNNNNNNNNNNNNNNNNNNNNNNNNNNNNNNNNNNNNNNNNNNNNNNNNNNNNNNNNNNNNNNNNNNNNNNNNNNNNNNNNNNNNNNNNNNNNNNNNNNNNNNNNNNNNNNNNNNNNNNNNNNNNNNNNNNNNNNNNNNNNNNNNNNNNNNNNNNNNNNNNNNNNNNNNNNNNNNNNNNNNNNNNNNNNNNNNNNNNNNNNNNNNNNNNNNNNNNNNNNUUUGUUCCCGGAAAGUGAGCAAAGUUUUAUCAGUUUGUAAUUUGCAUUUUAUUUUAGUAUUUUGAAUUCGAGUGAGAGACAGGAGGAGAAAGAGAGGGUUUGUUUUUGUGAUGGAUGGUUGGAGACUUUCAUAUGUAAAUUUGCAAAGACUUUGUAUGGUUUGUCAUUAAUCAAAUAACUCAUUUUUUCUCACAUACUUGUCGUCUCGUAAAAACUCUAAAAUAUGCAUUGGACAUAAAACAAUUUUCUUUUUCGCGUAUAUGGCGAUAGACAAUAGUUAUGUGUUUAGAUUGUUGAAACAUAGCUGGUAUCAACCACUAGCAUGGUGUUAUUAGUUUGUAGAAAGACCGGAAAUUACAUGUUUUAUAUAUAUUUGGUGCUAAAGUAAAUUAUUUUUGAAAAACUUUGGUCGGCGAAAUUAUGUGUUUGUUCUUUUCUCUUUUGGAAUUAGCGAAGGAUGGCCGUUUGCGAGUAGACGAAGUUUCAGAACGGAGAAAACAGUCAUGGCCGUCUCAAAAUCAAAAAUUUUGUUUAUUGUUUUUCUAGUAUAAAGUUUCUUGGUAAACGUACGGUUUUUAAUCUCUAGAAGUAGAAGGUUCGUGUGAUGCCUCUCAUCACAUGUUGUCUAUGUGCAUGUGUUUGUUCCUUCUGUGUUUGGUUGAUUUUGAAGCUCGUACGACUACGAUCGAGUAAUUGGACAGAUUGCGUUCUGCAUGUGACUGUGAGUUCCUCUGUACGUGGACCGGGUUCAUUUGUCACGCUAUAAUUGGCGAAUACAUAAUAACUGAAACUAUGUUUGGAUAUUUCGGAGUACUAAAACAUGCAUGUGUCCUGGUUUCUUAACCGAAGAAAAUAAAUUAAGUCUAGAUCAAAGGAGUGUAGUGCCUUUCAAAUGAUUUCAUUGAAAUCUUCCUUGAUAUGGGACAUAGAUGUUUUGAGUGAGUAAUCAGAGUAUCUUCUUAUAAUUAAAAGAGAAGUACAAAUUGAAAAUUUGUCAAAUUUAACCUUUAAAUCAUUGAAAUUGAUUUCAAUUUGGCAUAAAGGAGACACAUUAUUGAAAUCGAUUAGGGGUAAUUUUGGCAAAAGAAAAAGAAACAAAAAAAAUCAGUCUAGGAUCCGCGUGCUUUAGACGCCCGCCCAAGAAAAUCAUUGGAUCUUCUCCUUCGUUUAUUGACCCGGAGUCCUGAACACAGAGUUUUGUUAUGUCAAAUAUAUUAAUGGACAUUAAAAACCCAUGAAAAUAUUUAUUAAGGUUAUAAGGCCCACUAAAAUCAAUAGUAAGUUCAUUUCAGUACAGAAAAGUUUCAACCCAUCAUACGCUUUUGUGUUUUGUUAGUUUUAUGAAAUACUAAUAUUCAUACAUUUAUGACCAUCUUAAAUAUCAAUUUCGUAAAUCAAUAAUUUUUUAUCAAUCACAUCAAUUUCGCCCAAAUCAAUGUACUGAUUAUUUGCAUACCACUAAUCUGUACUUAUGAUCAUAUUCCAAAAAUGAGCAGCCUUAAUAUUCUUAUUAUCUAUAAAUAUCACUCUACCUACAAUCGAUCCCUUCAAUCAUCGAGCUAUUACCUCAUUUUUUCAUAUUCUUUUUAGUUCAUUACAGACGUGAUACCCUACAAGACAAGUGCAGUCCUGCAAAACCUGAAAAGCAUACACAACAAGUUUUGGUGAGAUGAGUUUAUAGAAAUAAUAGAAUGAUUUUUUUAUUCUAAAUACUCACAAGUCUUUUUACAGGUACAAUCACAGUGUGUCCGACGGGUUAAAUAUCACUUUGUAAACUUUUUUAAACUCAUCAAUACUAAAAGAAUCAGGAUUACUAUCUCCAUUUCCCCCAAGAAGACAAUUUAAUCAGUUUUUGAGAUGAUUGAGGUAAAGCUAUUCUUAAACCCAUGAUAAUAUUAUCAAAAGUUAUUAGAAAGAUUAAUGUAUUUUCUGUUCAUUGAACUAUUUCAAGAUAUUUAACUAACACAAGAAUAUGUAUUAAUCUGAAUUCUAUUUUGACGAAUGAUAGGGUACUUCCGUUAUAAAAUCUAAAAAUCUUAUGUCAAAAUUCUUCUUUUUUUUUAAUUCUUUUUUUUUUUUUUUUUNNNNNNNNNNUUUUUUUUUUUUUUUUUUUUGUAAACAGAAACACAGUAUCAAAUCUCAAAAACAGAAGAUCCGCUUUUGCUAAUGCAUCAGCCUUUGCGUUCUCAGUACGAGGUACAAAAUGGAAGGAAAUAGAAAUAAAUAAGGUUCUGAGGAGUUUGAUGUUCUUAAUUAUGUUAGAAAAUUAUCGAUUGUAAAGUUUGUUUCGUUAAACUUCAUAAAGGUUAAGAACUAACCAUUACAUCUCUAGCUCCUUGCAUCAUAAAAAAAUAAAUUUAGUAUACAAUAACAAAAUCUAUAUUGUAUUCGUUCUCUUAUCAAUUGAAUCUGAUUAAAAAAGAAUUAAUUAUUUUAAGUAACUCUAUAAGAAACAAGAAGGAUUUCUAUGAAUUAAGAACUAGAUUUUACCAAAAUUAAUAGAUGCGUUCAAAAAAAGUUAAAAUUUUGGAAAGAUGAAUUACCUCGAUGUCAAGACAUCUGUAUGUUAGCAUUUAAAACAGAAGUUGAUUUGGUUUAAAUAUUCUUACCAAUCUCUUUGACAAGACUCUCGGUUUGUCAUAUGAUUAGGUACAUUUUUUUUACUAUUACACCUAUUAACUUAGAUUAAUCAAAUUUAACAUAAUAUAAAUUAAAUUGCACGUAAAAAAAAUAUCACCACAACAACAAAAAUCAUUAAACUCAUAUAUUUAAAAUAUAUAGUUUUAAAAAUGACUUUAAAAAGUAAAAAUGUAAAUUAAACACUUAAGAUAGAAUUUAAUUUACAAACUAGAAAAUGAUAACAUUAAAAUAAAACUAGAAAAAUCAAUUUAUAGUAAAAAUCUAUGCAUGUCCUAUGAACUCAAGCGGGGCGGAGGAGGACAUAUUUUAUAGACCCACAAAUUCUAUAGGGUGAGCUUUUAAUCCAGCAUUAAAAAUAUUAAAUGAUCAUAUAUUAUGAAUUAUGUAAUCAUAGUUCAUGUUCUUACUCUUAAACUAAUAAUUUUAUCUGAUAAAUUCAAAUAGAAUAUUUUUUUGUGUAUACAUCAAACAAACAAAAAUACACUAACUUCCACAUAUCUCUAUACUACUGUAUCAAACAAAAAAAAAAUCUAAAAUAAUAUAUUAAUCAAUAAAUUUUAACCGAAAAUAGUACAUUUUAAGUUGUAAACUACAUAAUAAUAAUAAUAAUAAAAAUAUUUGCUAUGCUGUUGUUAGUGGUGUAGCGCAGGUCCAACCCAUUACAAUACGACACACACUUAUAAGAGUGAUGUAAAUUGUGAAAUAGAUAAAUAUAAUUCAUAAUAACAAUGAAUAAAACUAAUCAGUUUUGAAUUUACACACAAAACACCUUACGAAACGUACAUACAUAACAUCGACUACUUAAAACAAUUUGAUAAAACAAAUAUUUCCCAAAAACAUAUAUAUAAGAUAUAUAUAUCCAAUACGAGAUACAUAUCCAAUCAAAACAAAACAUAUAAGAAAAAAUAGGAUUUCCCAAAAGGAUUUAUAAAAACAAAGACCCGCGGUGUACCGCGGGUUCAAUUCUAGUAUAUAGAAGAAUGCAUGAUGUCGUUGGUGUUUAGUACCGAACGAUUAAAGCGAAUAGAACUGAACAUGCAUAGUGUUAUUUAUUUUCAACGUAUACUACUAUAGAACAUGCGUUCUAAUGCAUAUAUAUACAUAGUCAUAGCCUCAUAGGUGAAUUCAUGUGUGAGGUCAAAUGAAUGAAUAAAACUAUAAUUGUGCUUUGUAACAAAAAAAAAAAAGGAGUGUUAAAAUUAGAAAUUGUUUAGGAUGAUUGAAAUCAUUAAGCGUGAAUUGAUGAUAGCUUAAAGCGUUUUCUAUCAAAGUGAUUGAGAACUUGGGUUGCUGCAAAUUAAACCUCAAAUAAAUUAUUGUCUUGUUUUUUUUUCAUCUCUACAAUGUUGUUCAAUUUUACAACAGAAUACUACAAUCACGGUUAAAAUUUGAUAAAUAUGGUAGUUUUUUCAAUGUGUUAUGUAUCGUCUUCCUAAAUAUUCAAAUAGUUUUUGCAAUUUUUUUAAAAUAACUAAAAGUUUUAGAAAUUAUUUACAUUAAUGUUCAUGAGAAUCAGGUUAGUGGAUAAAGUAACAAUGGAAACGAUGUUAAGAUGAAUUGCACUUCUGUAAAUUGAUAGUGAUCGUGACUUCAUAUCACACUUAUUGAUAGUCAUGAUCAAAGCACCAUAGUUUCACCCCAAAAUAAUAAUCGAUCAAAAUGUAUGAUGUUUCGAUGAUCAAUAUUGAUAUCUUGGAAAUGUUCUUAAAUUUUUUAAAAGAGAAAAAAAUCUCUCAAAUAAGUUAACUAUUUUCACAAAAAUUAAGCCAUUUCCAAAGAUUUACAACCUGUGGUCUCAAAAUGCUUUGGCUGCAAUGAAAAAACCAAAGUGAAAGCUCGUGGACAAGAGACUGCCACCUAAGAAUAAGAAACGAUAAAACAAAAAUCUCAAAAACCCAAUGAGCGAAGAGAUAAAGAUUACUUGAGAGAUAACAAACGUUACUCACAAUGUCACUAUUUAAUCCAAACCUAUCUUAACGUUAUCACUCACUCUCACUCACAAGUUAGUCACACAAAAAAAAAAAAAANNNNNNNNNNNNNNNNNNNNNNNNNNNNNNNNNNNNNNNNNNNNNNNNNNNNNNNNNNNNNNNNNNNNNNNNNNNNNNNNNNNNNNNNNNNNNNNNNNNNNNNNNNNNNNNNNNNNNNNNNNNNNNNNNNNNNNNNNNNNNNNNNNNNNNNNNNNNNNNNNNNNNNNNNNNNNNNNNNNNNNNNNNNNNNNNNNNNNNNNNNNNNNNNNNNNNNNNNNNNNNNNNNNNNNNNNNNNNNNNNNNNNNNNNNNNNNNNNNNNNNNNNNNNNNNNNNNNNNNNNNNNNNNNNNNNNNNNNNNNNNNNNNNNNNNNNNNNNNNNNNNNNNNNNNNNNNNNNNNNNNNNNNNNNNNNNNNNNNNNNNNNNNNNNNNNNNNNNNNNNNNNNNNNNNNNNNNNNNNNNNNNNNNNNNNNNNNNNNNNNNNNNNNNNNNNNNNNNNNNNNNNNNNNNNNNNNNNNNNNNNNNNNNNNNNNNNNNNNNNNNNNNNNNNNNNNNNNNNNNNNNNNNNNNNNNNNNNNNNNNNNNNNNNNNNNNNNNNNNNNNNNNNNNNNNNNNNNNNNNNNNNNNNNNNNNNNNNNNNNNNNNNNNNNNNNNNNNNNNNNNNNNNNNNNNNNNNNNNNNNNNNNNNNNNNNNNNNNNNNNNNNNNNNNNNNNNNNNNNNNNNNNNNNNNNNNNNNNNNNNNNNNNNNNNNNNNNNNNNNNNNNNNNNNNNNNNNNNNNNNNNNNNNNNNNNNNNNNNNNNNNNNNNNNNNNNNNNNNNNNNNNNNNNNNNNNNNNNNNNNNNNNNNNNNNNNNNNNNNNNNNNNNNNNNNNNNNNNNNNNNNNNNNNNNNNNNNNNNNNNNNNNNNNNNNUUUGUUCCCGGAAAGUGAGCAAAGUUUUAUCAGUUUGUAAUUUGCAUUUUUUCAGUCUUUUGAAUUCGAGUGAGAGUGAGAGGGCAGAAGGAGAAAGAGCAGGGUUUGUGUUUGUGAUGGAUGGUUUGAGACUUUCAGAUGUAAAUUUGCAAAGACUUCGUAUGAUUGAUCAUUAACUCAAAUAACUCAUUUUUCUCUCAUAUUCUUCUCGUAAUAUUUCAAAAUCUGAACUGGACUUAUAUUCUUCGAUUCACUCUAUUGAAGAGGCUAUUUCUACAAUUGCACAAUUGAUUACAAAUACAUGACACGAGUUUAAGCCAAUGGGCAAAUGAUCUGAUAUCCUGAUACAAAGCAAGGAAGGACAUACUGAUAAAUUUAAAACUAUGCUGCAUCUCGAAAAUGGACCUUUGAGGAUUAUUGAUAGAAAUGCUUAUGGUAAACAAAAUCCGUUGAAAUUUAGUCGACAUCGUAAAAGUUCCACACAAGCGAUCAAACAUAUAAAUUAAAAACUAACUCAGACGGGCAAAGAAGAUACAUCCUUUACCUCAAAGAAGUCCUGUAGAGCGGUCAUUUUAAUGGCACUUGACUUCAAGCUCUUGAUUCCCUCGGCAGUCGCUAACGCUCCAGCCACUGUGGUUAUAACAGGGACCUUGUAGGCUAGAGCCAUUUGUCUGAGCUCUCUCCCAUCUUUCUGGUCAAGAGCAUCUCCCGAGCUUGUGAUCAACAUCAACUGGAUCUGACCAUUAGCCACCAUAUCAGCAGCAUGUGGUCUUCCUUCAUGCAACUUCAGCACUUUCUCCACGGCAAUGCCUUUCAGGUCCAGAAAAUGAGCUGUUCCCGAGGUGGCAACGAUCUUGAACCCGAGCUCGAGGAAGGACACCGCGAUUUUCUCUAGGUGCGAUUUGGUCAUAUCGUUUAAGCUGAGGAAGACUGUCCCGGUUAAAGGUAGCUUUUGACCUGCAGCGAUCUGAGCCAUUGCAAACGCACUUGAAAAUUCAGAACUGAUGCUCAUCACUUCUCCUGUGCUUCUCAUCUCUGGCCCGAGUAUCACAUCACAUCCUUGGAACUUCUCAAAUGGGAAAACAGCUUCUUUGACAGAGAUGUGUUUAGGGAUGACUUCUUUUUCAAAGUUAAUGUCUUUGAGAGAUUUGCCUGACAUGACCAGUGCAGCAUACUUGGCAAGCGGAUGUCCAAUGGCUUUCGAGACAAAAGGGACAGUACGGGAAGCUCGGGGAUUGGCUUCAAGCAAGAAAACAUCCCCAGAUGUCGUGAUUGCAUACUGACAAUUCAUCAGCCCACAUACAUUUAGCUUCUUCGCCAGCUUAGUGGUCCAUGAACGGAUAGUUUGUAAACAAGAAGAUGGGAUAGUUUGUGUUGGAAGCAUACAGGCCGAGUCACCAGAAUGCACACCAGCUUGUUCGAUAUGCUCCAUUAUUCCACCAAUCACCACAUUUCCAUAGGAAUCAGUAAGGGUAUCAACGUCGAUCUCAAUGGCAUCAGAGAGAUAUUUAUCUACCAAAACAGGUCUCUCUGGGUCAACUUCAACCGCAUUUUCCAAAUACGUUAUUAAUCUACUGUCAUCAUAAACGAUCUCCAUUGCCCGUCCACCUAGAACAUAAGAAGGUCUUACCACAACUGGGUAGCCUACCUCCUUCGCAAUGGCUAAGGCAUCAGCUUCGCUCUUUGCAAUGCCUCCCUUGGGUUGCUCAAUUUUCAGCUCAUCAAGAAUUGCAUUAAACCUCUCUCUGUCUUCAGCAGCAUCAAUGGAGUCAGGUGAUGUACCCCAGAUGCGAACAGGUCCCUCUCCGCUCAAACUCAUGGGCAUGUGCUUAUCCAAAUAACGUUUGAUUGGGAGAGCAAGUUUCAGAGGAGUUUGACCACCAAAUUGCACUAUUAUUCCAUCAGGUUUUUCAAGAUCAAUAACAUUGAGAACAUCCUCGAUUGUGAGAGGUUCAAAGUAGAGCCUAUCGCUUGUAUCAUAAUCUGUGGAUACUGUUUCAGGAUUUGAGUUCAACAUUAUGGUCUCAUAUCCAGCAUCCUGCAAAUAUAUUUAAAUAGUCGAUAUGUAAAUUUUGCGAAACAAAGUUGAAAGAUGUGUGGCAACAACAGUAAGGCGAGAGACGCUUAGAUUGUCUAGGACUAACCUGUAAGGCGAAAGAUGUGUGGCAACAACAGUAAUCAAAUUCAAUCCCUUGACCAAUACGAUUUGGCCCUCCACCCAAAAUCAAAACCUUCUUCUUGCUGUUUGGAGCUGAUUCACAUUCAAAAUCAUACGAAGAGUACAUGUAUGGUGUAUGCGCUUCGAACUCUGCUGCACAUGUAUCAACUCUCUUGUAAGAUGGAACAACUCCUAAAGAAAUCCGCUUUGUACGGACUUCUUCUUCUGUUGUCUUUGUAGCAUAAGCGAUUUGCUUGUCACUAAAUCCCCGCUUUUUGACUUCGUAAAGGUCUUCUUUUGUAAUCUCUGACAAGGUUCCGCACAUAAGAUACUGUUCCACGUCCACAAGCUCUUUAAGCUGGGUUAGGAACCACUUGUCUACCAUGCUCAACUCGUAGAUUUCAUCAAUCUUCAUACCCUUUUUCAUGGCAGCAUAUAUCGCAUGGAUCCUGUCCGGAUUUGGGACUCUAAGGCUGUAUUUAAGCUGAUCCCAGUCCCAAUCUAGCUCUUUGAUUUUUGCACAACCCCAACCUGAGAAUCCAGACUCCAGAGACCUCAGAGCUUUCUGGAAAGAUUCUUGGAAUGUGCGGCCGAGAGCCAUAGAUUCCCCCACAGAUUUCAUCUGGGUCGUUAGCAAGGGCUGAGAUCCUGGAAACUUUUCAAAUGCGAAUCUAGGAAUCUGCAGGAUAUAAAAAAGUGUAUAGAAUAAGCAAAUUAUGCAUCGAGUUUGUAUUUCCUCAAGUGGAUAUACGUGAGUAAAUCCUGAAACUCAAGAGAGCAUCUCAUUUUGCAACACAAAAAAGAAAGCCAAAAGAAUGCACUCGAAAGAAUGACAAACCUUAGUCACCACAUAAUCGAUGGAGGGCUCGAAGCUAGCUGGUGUUUUCCUGGUGAUAUCAUUAGGAAUCUGAUCCAAGGUAUAACCAACAGACAACUUGGCUGCCAUUUUAGCAAUGGGAAAUCCUGUAGCCUUGGAAGCAAGAGCAGAAGAUCUCGAGACCCUAGGGUUCAUCUCUAUGAUCAUAACUUCACCAUCAACGGGGUUAACUGCAAACUGCACAUUAGAUCCACCACACUCAACACCAAUCUCCCUUAUAAUGGCAAUGGAAUAAUCCCUAAGCCGCUGGUACUCCCUAUCCGUAAGGGUCUGUGCAGGCGCCACAGUAAUGGAAUCACCCGUAUGCACACCCAUAGGAUCAAUGUUCUCAAUGGAACAGAUAAUGACAACAUUGUCAGCUAAGUCUCUCAUCACCUCAAGCUCAUAUUCUUUCCAACCCAACAACGACUUCUCAACAAGAACCUGACUUGUCACACUGGCAGCCAAACCGGCUUUACAAAUGGACUCAAACUCCUCUUUGUUAUAGGCAAUUCCACCACCAGUACCACCCAAAGUAAACGCAGGACGGAUAAUCAAAGGGAACUCACCAAUUCUCCCAGCAAUGUCGAAACACUCAUCAAGAGUGUUCCCAAUCCCUGAAGGUGGAGUCUUUAGCCCAAUGUUCUUCAUGGCCUGCUUAAACAAAUCACGAUCUUCAGCUUUCUUAAUAGCACCAAGCUUAGCCCCAAUCAAUUCAACACCGUAUCUCUCGAGAGCACCACUCUCAGCAAGAGCAACGGCAAGGUUCAGUGCGGUUUGGCCACCCAUGGUAGGCAACAAAGCGUCAGGCCUCUCUUUCUCAAUAACCUGCUCGACGAGCUCAGGAGUCAUGGGAGCAAUAUAGGUCCGAUUAGCAGUCUCCGGGUCAGUCAUGAUAGUAGCCGGAUUGGAAUUGAUGAGAAUGACAUCGUAACCCUCUUCCCUAAGGGCUUUACAAGCUUGAGUUCCAGAGUAAUCAAACUCGCAAGCUUGGCCAAUCACAAUGGGACCAGCACCGAGAAUCAUAAUCUUCUUCAGAUCGGUCCUUUUCCCGACGAUCUCCGGAGAAAAGGCCUUGGUAGUGGUGUCGGCGAGCUCUGAGACGGGUUUGAGAACACGAGUAACGGAGGCUUUGCGGUUGAGACAUGGGAGAAAAGUGGAGAAGGAAGAAGAAGAAGAGCCAAGCUUGGAUUUAGCUCUGUAAUUGUUGGCAGAGCGAGAGAAGAAGGUGGAAUUGGAGAGCUUGGAAGGAGAGAAGCGAGGAUGAGAUUUUGAAGAAGCGAAAAUGUUAGAAGAGAGUUCUAAGCAAUGGUUACUCAUUUCGUCUGUGUCGGCUCUCUGUUACUGGGUGAGAGACUGCAGAAGAGAGAGUAGUAAGUGAGACACCAGAAAGAGAGAGAGGGUUUUAUUUAGGGUUUCUCGGGAAUUUGGAUUAUUUCGGUUUAUUAUAUUUUUAUUAAAUUUUUUAUUUGUCCUUUUCAAAGUUUCGUGGCAUAUUGAUCUGAUUUAUAUAUCACACGUUCAACAAAAGCUUUGGGAAAAAUUUGACAACUGUAAAAGAAAGAUCAUAAAGGGUCCGAGAGUCCGACCAGAAACAAAAUACUGAAAUAGAUAUGUAAGGAAUAAAAACACUACUGUUUAGGUUAUUUGAUUGACUCAAUUAUUUACAUCACUGUUUCCCUAAUUUCCUUUUUAAAGAACAAAUGUGAUACCAUAUAUCUUUUUAUGAUUUAAACCCCUUCGAAAGUACAGUUUUAAAUGAACAUACUCAACAUAGGCAAAAGAAGAGGGCACACGAGCCUGUCAAGGGUUAAUGUGGGAUCAGGCGAAGAAUAAGACCAAAGAAAUAUAAACUAAAUGAUAUCGCAGCCAUAGCAAGGACGUUGUGGACAGAUUGGGUUUUGGUCUUUGGGUUUAUAAAACACACAUCUCUUAAAAUCCAAAUAAUUUUAAUUAGGCCCAUAAGCCCAAUAUGAUUAAUUUCAUUUAGUCGUCACAAAAUAGCAAAGCCUCUCACCACUGGAAUUAGGGUAACGCCAUUGUUGUUGGUUCUUUGUCACUCACCACCGUCCGUGACAAGAGUUAUAGCUUGUAGAGUGUCACCUUCUUCAAGCUUAGGUAACACCAUUAUCUUCCUUCGUUAAUCUUCAACGAUCUUCAGUAUCUUCCAUAGUAUCGAUUUUUGCUGUUGUUUAGCUUUCAUAUUCCUGCAAAAUGAAAUCGAAGAAGUAUCGUUUUCUUGUUUAGAUAGAGAUUUCGUUUUGUAGCUUUUUCCAAUUGUUUCAUCUUACUUGCAGCUGAGAUUUUCACUUCUAGACUAUUAGCAACUCUUAGGAUCUGUUUAGAAUUGAGUGUAGGCUUUGUUUAGCAACUGUUUUAAAAUUGCUUUGUUGAUUCUUUAUCCUAAACCAUAAGGUCUAAUGUGUAAGUGGAACCAACACCGCAUCUUCUCUACCUUUGUCUCUCUUCGCAGACAACAAAUCUUCAGUGUUCGUCGAUUCCAAACCACCACAACCCUUGGCAAACCCAUCUCCAUUGCUUCAAUUCAGAUUCCGAUGGACGCCACUGAACAAUCUCUCCGUCAAUCCCUAUCGGAGAAAUCGUCAUCUGUCGAAGCUCAGGGUAACGCCGUCCGAGCUCUCAAGGCCUCCCGUGCAGCGAAACCGGAUAUCGAUGCCGCUAUCGAGCUACUUAACAAAUUGAAGCUCGAGAAAUCCGCAGUUGAGAAGGAGCUUCAGUCCACAAUUAGUGGCUCUGGUAAUGGUUCUCUUAACCGUGAGGCCUUUCGAAAAGCUGUAGUCAACACUCUUGAGCGGCGUUUGUUCUAUAUUCCUUCGUUUAAAAUCUACAGUGGCGUCGCUGGACUUUUUGAUUAUGGUCCUCCUGGAUGUGCUAUUAAGUCCAAUGUCCUGAGCUUUUGGCGUCAAGUAAGGAACACUGUUCACAUUUCUCUGUAUUCAAAGUCAACAAGAUUUAUAGAGUAGAAUUUGAGUUAGGUUUGUUCUUACACGGGAUAGAUUUGGGUAGAAUUUGACAUGAUUGAUAGAGUAAAAAUUGUGUUAGGUUUGUUCUUAUAUGCUAUUUGAUUUGAUUUGCAGCAUUUCAUUCUUGAGGAGAACAUGCUAGAAGUUGAUUGUCCAUGUGUGACACCAGAGGUUGUUCUCAAGGCAUCGGGGCAUGUAGAUAAGUUCACUGAUCUUAUGGUUAAGGAUGAGAAAACUGGAACAUGUUACCGUGCAGACCACUUGCUCAAGGAUUAUUGCACAGAGAAGCUGGAGAAAGAUCUUACCAUCUCUGCUGAUAAAGCUGCUGAACUGAAGGAUGUUCUUGCUGUUAUGGAAGAUUUUUCUCCUGAACAGCUAGGUGCGAAAAUUAAGGAGUAUGGGAUCACUGCUCCGGACACAAAGAACCCACUUUCUGAUCCUUACCCGUUUAACUUGAUGUUUCAAACAUCCAUUGGCCCAUCUGGUCUAAUUCCUGGGUGAGUAUUUUUAAUGUUAUGAUUGUUUCUGAGCUACUUUCUUUCCUGAUUUUUUAAUAUCAAAUUACUCUUUUUUUUGUGUGUUUCAGUUACAUGCGUCCUGAAACUGCUCAAGGCAUCUUUGUGAACUUUAAGGACCUGUACUAUUACAAUGGGAAGAAACUUCCAUUUGCCGCGGCUCAAAUUGGUCAAGCCUUUAGAAAUGAGGUAAUAUAUUGCUUUCCUUGAUGUAUGGGAUGUGUUCAUCUUCUGUAAAAGACUAUUUUCUCUAUUGUGUCUGGGUUUAAAUAAGUAGCAUAUUACUCGCAGAUAUCUCCUCGUCAAGGACUUCUUAGAGUUCGUGAAUUCACGCUGGCAGAGAUUGAGCACUUCGUUGAUCCUGAAAAUAAGUCACAUCCCAAAUUUCGUGAUGUAGCAAAACUGGAAUUCCUUAUGUUCCCAAGGGAGGAACAAAUGUCUGGCCAAUCUGCAAAAAAACUUUGCCUUGGUGAAGCUGUUGCUAAGGUUAGUAUUUGUAAUAAUAGUAGCCUAUUUAAUUUUUACUAAGCUCUCUUCCACACCCAUUUUUAUAUCUUAUUGAUGCCUGCAAUUGAAAACCUAUACGUAUAGGGUACUGUGAACAAUGAAACUCUAGGAUACUUCAUUGGGAGAGUAUAUCUUUUCCUUACCCGCCUUGGCAUAGACAAGGAACGGCUGCGCUUCCGUCAGCAUCUAGCAAAUGAAAUGGCCCACUAUGCAGCAGAUUGUUGGGAUGCUGAAAUUGAGAGUUCAUAUGGGUGGAUUGAAUGUGUUGGGAUUGCAGAUAGGUCUGCCUACGACCUGCGUGCUCAUUCUGUAUGAACCUCACCUUUACUUAUAUUUUCAUCAUUUCGUUUGACAGCUAUAGAUAAUUAAUGAUCAAAAGCCGUAAGUAUUCCUAGUUAAACUCAUGUUGAUCAACUGUUGCACGACAGGACAAAAGUGGCGUUCCCCUAGUGGCUGAAGAGAAAUUUGCAGAACCUAAAGAAGUAGAGGUAUUUUAGUGAACAAAUUCAUUCGUCUCUGAUUCUUUGUCGUUAUAACUUCCCCUUAAUAAGGUUCUCUUCUAUUUCAGAAACUUGUGAUUACACCUGUGAAGAAAGAACUGGGUCUUGCAUUCAAGGGAAAUCAAAAGAAUGUGGUUGAAUCUUUGGAGGUUGAACUCUAUUGUUUACUGCAUAGCUUCUUCUACAUGGUGCUGGUUUAAAAUAAAUAUCAUGCUUAAUGUAAUAUUUUUUUUUUUAUGUUAGGCAAUGAAUGAGGAAGAAGCUAUGGAGAUGAAAGCAACCCUGGAAUCCAAAGGGGAAGUGGAGUUUUUCGUGUGUACCCUUAAGAAAAAUGUGACCAUCAAGAAGAAUAUGGUGUCAAUCUCAAAGGAGAAGAAGAAAGAACACCAGCGGGUUUUCACUCCAUCAGUGAUUGAACCAUCGUUUGGGAUUGGACGGAUCAUAUAUUGUCUGUACGAGCAUUGUUUCAGCACAAGGCCAAGCAAAGCAGGGGAUGAACAAUUGAACGUGUUCCGUUUCCCUCCUCUUGUAGCUCCCAUCAAGUGCACAGUUUUCCCGCUUGUUCAGAACCAACAAUUCGAGGAAGCAGCCAGAGUUAUUUCUAAGGAACUGGCUUCUGUUGGUAUCUCACAUAAGAUUGACAUCACUGGUACGUAAAAACAAUUUGAGAAACGAAGGUUUUUUUUUAUAACUAUUGAAAUGGACAAACUGAGUGAAGAUUUGUGUCUGUGUGUGAAUGUGAAUAGGUACGUCGAUAGGGAAGAGAUAUGCAAGAACCGAUGAGCUUGGAGUGCCAUUUGCAAUAACAGUGGACUCAGAGACAUCAGUGACAAUCAGAGAAAGAGACAGCAAAGAUCAAAUCCGAGUCAGUUUGAAGGAGGCAGCGUCCGUUGUGAGCUCAGUCGCAGAGGGGAAGAUGACAUGGCAAGACGUGUGGGCAAGCUUCCCACACCACUCUUCUGCUGCAGCAGACGAGUAGCUAGCUCUUUCAAUCACCAUGACCAUAAUCCUUACUCGUGUUUUUCUUUUUUACAUUUCGAACUAAAGAGGGAAUUUUAAGUUCAACAAACCAUCAUUGAAUGAUUUGGCUGUAAUGCAUACACAUCACUUCUGGGGUAGAACUUAAAACUCAUGUUCUGCAUAUAUGCAUGUCACUUUUGUAUAAACAAGGUCCUUUUAAUUGCGGUCUUUGUCAAAAGAAAAAAUGAAAAGAAACUCUUGUUAAUGUUUGGGUUGAAGUCUGAAGAAAUCGAUGAUUCAGGGGUGAAGUCGUUUUCGUUAAUGUAACCGCGAGUCAACAAUUUCUGCAUUUCCACCAUCGACCAAAAAAAGAAAAGAAAGUGAAGACUUUAAAACCAAAUUAAAAACAUACGUUACCAAACUUUGUUGUCCAAUAAUGAAAUCAUCAUGCAUAAUCAGAAUAGACGAACCAAAUGCUAAUUAAUACCAAAUUUACGAAGACGACGAAAUACACUAAAACAUGUAUGCAUACCUCUAAUUAGAGACGUUCAUAAAGUUUUAACUCUUACAAGAAUGACGAAUCAAAAGUCCAAAUAAUUAGUAGUAGGUUGUCAAUUUGUCAUCAGUGAAAUAUAUAUAUAUAUAUACAUGCAUAUAAAGAUAAAAUAUCAGAAAUACCUAAGAAUCUACUCAUAUAUAGUACUAAAUUAUUUAUGUUUUACAAAAAUUAUAGUGUAAUCAUGAUCAUAAAGCUUAGAACUAUAUAUAGUACAUGCCCUCUCUCAACUCAAGAUUCGUGCUUCGAGAACAUUGAAGGAACAAUGUCCUGAAGAAGACCAAAGUCAACACCCGCAGGUUGAUGAUUAUUAUUAUUGUAACUAGUAAUCAUCCCAUGACCAUGAUCGUUCGACAUAGAUCCCACUGAUGAUAGAUAAUUGGCAGGAGGAUGUUUCAUCAUGAGAAACUCUUGACGGUGAUGAAGAGGGAAGCUAUGGAGGAAACUGCUUCCACCACCACGGUGACCUAAUAGAUGUUCAGCGGCCACGGUUCCUCUCAACGUCGAAGGGAUCGGAUGGUUGUGUUUUCCUUCGUAUGUUGUUAUUACGAUCGACGGAUCUUGAAACGAUCUUUCUACACGUUUUUUUACGUUGCACUUCUGUGUUGUGCACCUAUAGUAACUCCUGUAAGCGCAUAUAUACAUAGAUAUAUAUUAUGAUAUGAUGAUCUAUAAAUAUAUGUAUACUCGUAAGUCGUAACAUGUAAAUGCAAGGACAACGUAAAUAAAAUGUAUGUGGUAGUGAGGAAGGGAACCUUGGAUAAGGGCUGUUCUUGACGGCCUUUUGUCCAUAUUUUCUCCAUCUAUAGCCAUCUUCAAGAUGAUCAAUCUCGCUUUUGGUCAUAAAUGCAACUUUAGCUUCUCUCUCUUUCUUCUCUCCUUUCUUUUUACCUUGUUUUGUCCUGACCAUACUCAUCAUCCACCAACAAAAUAUCAAUCUCUAGGGUUUUAACUUUGUAAAAAGUUUUAAUUCUUUUAUCAAGUGAUUGUUGAUGAUUUUCGUAAGCUUGAUCACAUUAUAUUAUCUGUCUUUUGGUUCAGCAAAUCUAGUUACGCAAAAAGAAGAAAAGAAAUAUGCGAGAGGAAGAGUGAAAGAAAUGUAAAAGGUUGAAAAAGCACUCACACUUGCUUGGAACUUUCACGAACACCAACACCAUGUUGGUCUCCUUCGUUAUCCUCAUUGGGGUUCUCUUUAGGAUCGGCUUCAUUAGAGGAAGAUGAGACCAUAGGAGAAUUCGAACUAAGAUUUAAGUAAGGGUUGUUUACUAUAUGGCCUAUAUUGGAAGGUGAAACCGGUUGAAAAGGGGAACCAUAAGGUGGGAAUUUAAAACCCUUCUCUAGAGAGUUAUAAUCCAUCACUAAUGAGCUUUGUAAGCAAUCGGUUAUACUCGUGAAUGACACUUCUUCUAAAUAUGUGUUCUUGCUCUCAACAUGAUCAUCCAUUGAUGAAGAGACGGAGAAAAAGAAGAAGAGGAAGAGACAUGGUUCUUCAAACUUAGGUGUUAGGUUAUAUGUGGACUUUGGGUGAUCAAGUCUUAUAAAUACAAGUCCAUUCAACUUUACUUCGAUGGUAUCUUUAAUUUAGUUCUGAAUAUUCAAUUACGGUCUUAAUUAUAUGUUUUUGGAGCGAUAUCAUUUGGAGAGCAUACAUAUAUGUAUAUUGGUCUUAAGAUAAUUAAAAUAGUUUCUCCAACACAUAAUUAAUUAUAUAAUAAACAAAAAUACCGAAUUAUAAUAUUAAUGUACGUAAUUUGAAAUUAUAGUCUCGCUACAAUGUGAAAUACAUAAUAAUUUGAAAGAAUUCAAGAGGGAGCUAGAUAUUGGAAAGUUUAAAAGGGUCAUAAUCUUUAAAGACUUUAGUGGGUAUAAUAUUUUGCUAAAAUAUCUUUGUGUAUGUGAAAAAGAUAGGUUUGAAAAUUUCAACUUAAAAUUUAAUUAGCUAGAGAGCUAUCUAACAAAAAAGUGGUUUCUAUAAAGGAAACAUUUAACUAUAUAUUUCUCUCUAAUCCUAUCUACCACACUAUGCUUUGGCUUUCUUUCCUUUCAAUCGUUUUGUUCUCUCUUUAUUUGUAAACUUAUGAUAUAUAUAAAUUAAAUCGAUCAAAUGAAUCAAUCAACGAUAUCUUUCGUAAAAUGGAAUCCAUAUCCAUAUACAUUAAUAAGGUUUAGUACAAAAAUCACACGCACGGUACAUGCAUGUAGAAUUUGAUGUCUAAAUAUAUGUGUAAUGCACAUAUGAUUAGAUGAUUUUUUUUUUUUUUUUUUUUUUUGUGUGUGCAAAUGAUUGGAUUUGUAAGAAGUAUAUUUACGUAGCUAGAAGUCCUAGUGAGGAAUAUUAAAAAUAAAGAUAAAUAGCUAGAGGUCAAAUGUAUAAAGGCAAUGUAGACAAUUUACAUCUACUUCCAACAUCUUUGCACUCGUCAAAAGCAAACUUUCUUGGUGAAUUAUAACGAAUCAUAUAUUAAUAUGCAUAAACACACACAAAAAGUCUCCAUUUUGUGUCUCUCUAGAAACCCUUUAUAUUGGGGGUUAAUUAUUACAAAUAACCUCCAUAAAAAGAAAAGAUAGCUAAUCUCUUUCAUAUUUAAAUAAGUGUUCUACCAAAGAGAUAAGGGUUUAUUUAAGUUAGAAAUUAAAUAAAUAUACCCCUUGCUUUUGGAGCUACAUUAUUGUUGUUGAUUCAAAGUCAGCGAAGACCAACUUGUCUUGUGAACAGUCAACGUCCUUCAAAGCAAGAACUUCACUUUCUUCAUUAUAUAUAUACUUCAACAAGACAAGUCUUAAACAUUAAUCUUAUCCUGAUAAAGUAUGUAGAAAACGAAUCUAUGAUUGGAUCAAAUAAUAGCAAGUAACAUUCUUAUACGCAAAUGAUUGGACCAAAACAUUAAUUAUAAUACUCUUAGCAUUAUUUGAGAUUCGGAACACAAUAAUAUACUAACCAUAUGAUAUAUAACAUUUCUAUAAAUUGUUAGAAACGUAAAAGGAAAAGAAGAGACGUAUAACGUGGAAGGAAAUGGCAAUGUCUUUGACCAUUAAGGUCAGCAAAGUCGUGCAUGUUACUUGCUCUUCCUUUUUUCUUUUUCUUUAAUGUCUUUGAUGAAUGAUCCAUAAUGACCAAAGCCCUAUGUCAUGUUAUGUAUUUGGUCCUUAAAUUCUUUUUUUUUUUUUUUUUUNNNNNNNNNNUUUUUUUUUUUUUUUUUUUUUAAUGUAUUUGGUCCUUGGUUUCUUAAUUAAAGUCUAUAAUUGCCGCUUUGAUAUUUAAUAAUCACUAUAGUAGUGAUGCAUACUUUAAAGUCUUGAUUGUAUUUUUAAUCACUAUGUGAGAGGUCGAAUUGAAGUGUUCGAACACACUAAUCACAUUCGUGUUGUUAUAAUUGUUUAAGUACAAGUAUAAGUAACUAACCUUAAAAAGGGUUAAACCCAAAGUAUAUAGCAUUCUUUUACACAAAAGUGUUCAGGUGGGAACAGGUUCCACUUCUUUGGAUGAAGGAGCCAAAAAAAAGCAUUCGUUCAUUAGCUUUUCGUUUUGUCAAUUAAAGCACUAUAAUCGGAGUUUUGUGUACGUACGUACGUACGUAGCAUUUCUAGUUACUUUUGUCGAUUACUUGAUUAUGACAGAACCAAAGGUGUUUGAUUAGUCAAUUAGACGUUUGGGCUUAUUUAGUUAUUAUCUUUCUUUCUAGAAAACUUUUAAUCUAAAAAUUCAUAAUAGAUUAUCAUAAUAAAAUUCAAAAAUAGUACGAGAUUAAUUCAUAGGUAUAAAAAUUUUGUGGAGACACUUGCACCGUUGUUGUCGCUUUCUCUUCACCCGUUGACUAUUAUCAUAAAGGAUUUUACAUAUAAAUUCAUAUUAUUAGUUCUGAGUUCUAAUCUGUUUUAUAGACAAACAUUUGUAUUUAAUUAUAGGGAAAAUAACUAAUCUAUCAAAUGAAUCACUAAAUACAUAUUAUUUUUUUAAAUUGUCUAUGUAUGUCGUGUGAUAUAUUUAGUUUCACAAGUAGAUGUACGUAAAUAGAGCUCUAUCGUUUCAAAACUAUACAGUAUCAGUUUCAAUUAUAUAACUAAAAAAAAAACAUGAACUUAAGAACGUUGAGCAAAAACUACUCAUAUAUAUAUAUAUAUAUCUCAUGUCAGUUUGAGAAGAAGAAAAUAUUUUAAAAAGGAACCACUAAUGUCAAUUAUAGUUCUAGUUGAGAGUGAGUGUGACACUAAUUAUAAAGUUAUGAAUAUGUUUCGACGUUCAGAGCAGGUAGGUACUGUGUUUGGUAAUAAUAGCUCUCUAUUUUAAUUGUUAAAUGUCAAAUCUUAUUUCAUCUUCGAGAUCUCAUUAGCUCUAAAAAUUAUCAUUUACUUCUUUUACAUGUCCACGUAUCUCACGUUUCUCAUUCUAAAAAUAAAAUCGAUAAUUUGUUGACUGUUUUGAUUACACUUUAGUAUCAUAAAUUAUAAUUUGUAAUAAGUUAAACUUUUGUAAUUGAAAUCAAAUAUUAAAAUGCUUAUAUAUAAGCUAUAUAUAUGCUAUAUACUGUAUGAGAUAAUAAUAUGAACAUAACAAAAGCCGACAAAAUAAAAAAUAAAAAAGAGAAAAUUAUACUCUAUGCCAUGUACAGUACAAAAUGUUUUAAGAAUUGCCAUUUUCUUUAACUUCUUCUCCCGCCUGCCACAAAUCAAAAGUAAAAAGACUCUUUUAUCCUUCUUCCUUUCUCACAAAAGAAAAAAAUAAAAUAUUGUUUCUUUCUCUCUCCACACCUCCAGCAUUUUCUCUCUCUCUGCAUUUCUUCUCUCUCAAAAUUUCCUUCUCUCUGGUUUCAAUUUUUUUUUCAUUAAUAUCUCACACCAAUAGUAACAUCUAAUGGAAGCCAAAAGGUUGGAGAAAGAAAUUAUUUCGACCACAACGAUGAACAACGAUGCUUUUACUGUAGGUAGGUAUGUGAUUCACGUUGGUGACCAAAUCAAUUUCACAACUACAUUUUGUUUUUGUCUUUCAAUGGACCAGAUCUGGUGAACUAGAACCGAUAGACCAAACUUGUCCAUCCUACAAAUCUCAUGAAACCACAACUGAUUGACCAGAUGAUGCAACAAGUAAUGCAUCUAUUGAAGACGUCAUUUACGAUCCAUCAAGAUUUACACUUUGGAUAUCACAUUUGUGUAGAGAUGGACUAGAUCCGGUAGACUAGAUUCAGUGGACAGUGGACUAGAUCCGGUGGACCAGAUCCGAUGUAUGUAAUAUAUCAAUUUUUGUUUCUUAAUUUGUUGUAUAUCAUACGUAUAUAGCAAACUAAGUCCAAAUUUUUCAUAAACGAACUUGUCUAUAAUACAUAUGUUAGAUGGAUGAACAAAAAAACAUGUCCACAAUCGAUAGACCAGAUCUACUGCACAUAUCAUGUCCAUAAACACAAUUGUCCAUAUAUAGCAUUUAAUACUUAUCUAUUUUUAUUUGUCCUUUACCAGUUUAAGAAACCUUAUCAAUCCUUGCCGGAGUACAAUAGCUUACUCACCCCGAGUCGGAGGAUGUAGUGGAGAAAUCCCUCAGAACCGUUAAAGUAAGCUUUCGAUAGACCAGAUAUACUUUAUAUAUUUUGUCCAUCACAUAAAAUUUCAUUUGUGUCCUUUUUGACAUUACUUUAUAGAUUGUCUAUCGACUAUAAUGCACACAAUGAUAGGCAAGUGGACACCCCUACACAUCCUUGAUUAUCUUGUCUUGUCCACUCAGCUAUUAAACUCGGAAAUCACUACUCCUUCUUCACCACCCACACCGUCCACAAAAUCUCUCCUAUACUUGUCCUCCAUUAACACUACAUAGAUCUGCUUUUGCAAUUUCUUAUUUUUGUUUUGGUUUUAUCACUCACUAAAGCAUUUGUCCUCUAGAUAUUAGCAUACAUUGUAGCAUUUAAUGCUACUUUACCUGUCCAAAAAAAACAUCCCAUCAUGUUCAAUUUUUGAACACUAGUGCUAUUUGAGCUUCAAAUUGGUGAGGGCAAAAUCGUCACAUAAUAAAUGUUAUGGCAUGUUUUAAAAGAAAAGAAGAAAAAUGGCAACUUUAAACUUUUGAGUUUUGAAAGUGGCAUAGCCCACAAAAUUCCCAAUAAAAAAAGUAUUAGGAAAAAUAAUGAAAUACAGAAAUCCAAUGAGUGUAAAUAAAUUCAAAAGUCAAGAGUCAAAAGUCAACGUUUAAGCUCAGUUGAAUUCGAGAUUUUUUUAAAGUUUCAACAUCCACUCCACUAAUGUCAUUUUCUAAUAAGCACUACUGUAUUUAUUUAAGAAAGAAGAAAAAGUCUUUACGUUUAUAAUUUUUGUUUUUUUUUUAUAUAUAAUCUGAUUGAUAAUUGUACGGACCGUAACACACUUUUGCAUAUUAAAUGUAGUUUAUUUUUUGUAACAGUUUAUUAAAUUUUUCAAAGUAGCCACUUCAUCACUGUAGAACUUCGUCAUACGUUAGGAUGGCUACAUAAUCGAAUGAUGAUGAUGAUAUAUAUAUGUAUGACUCUCAUCUUCUAUGGUCGAACGAACGAUGAGUCUCGAUAUGUAUCUACGGACUCCAAAAUACUUCAUUAUCUCCAAGAAAGUUAUUGUUUCAAAAAUAAACCUUUUGAAAAAGAAGAGGACGACGACGACAACACCUUUCUCCUCGAUUCUUUUGAAGUGAACAACUACCCACUUUAGUUUUGAGUGUCAAAGUGAACUAUGUAGCAAGAGCUUUUAUUCCUUUUUUCUGUUAAUUGUUUUUGAGAGACCAAGUCUUACAUUUGCAUACAUCUGAUCUAUGUAUUGGUUACAAUGUCCCCCUUUCUAGCAGCAUUCAAAUUUAAAACUAGAGCAUUUGUUCUAUUUUAUCGAGAAAAAGAAGCUAAUGACUUGAGCAAAUCAUGAAUCAGUAGUAGCAUCAAAAUUACGAACAAGUAGAAUUAGAACAGAAUCAGUUUCUUUUCUAAUAAUAUUCAUAUCAAUAUCAUUUUAACAGGCAAUGCGAAUAGAGAGAGGAAGAUGAAAGACGAUAUUUCACAUAGGAUAUGCCCAUAAAUAAGAAUGCAGAGUGUUUUUUUUUUUUCAUUCAUUCAGUUUUACUUUGAAAUCUCAUGUCAAGCAUCUGGAAAAUCAUCAAAGAUUCACUCACAAUAAACAUAUUUAACAGCAACAUUUUAAGAUGUUCUUAGUGCACUCACCAACACAACUGUGAGAGAUCCCCUCCCCAUAGAUGGCUGUGCAAAGUACAGCAUGAUGUUCUUCUUCCUAAUCGUCAUCCACCCCACGGCGCCUGUGGAUCUGUAAACACAUCCGAGAUUAACUUAUUAAACUCAAUGAUAUUGAUGGUUAAGGUAAGAUCUGUUUUACUUGUCUUUACCGUGACUUUCGUUUGUUUGGUAGUUUGGCUGUUUAUUUGUUCCAACAGUGUUAUAAGCCUCUCCUCAGAAACCUGUAAAGCAAACAGAGUAUUUCAAUAAACUCUUAGAUGCAUCACACUUACUCAGACUCACUGACUCUUAAUUGGGUAGAACCAGAUCAUACGUAGUAAAAUUUUAAAAAUAUGACAUGGAAAAGUGUAUGGAUCUUGUUUACCUUUUCAACUAUUUGUCCCAUUUGAGCAGCCCUCAAAAUAACAUCCUCAACACCUCUAGCUUUCUCAGGUUUUACCAGGGCAAUUCGAGCAACUAUAGAGGAAAAAAAGGAAGAAAAAGAACCAUCAAAGAUAUAUAAACACAAUAUUGUGUCUCUCUCGAGCUUAGGAAGAUCAUCACAUUAAUUGACAUAAUGAAGGAUAAGGGCAGAGUAACUAGAUGAGCUCCAACACAUAUUAGAUGAGACUUACUUCUCUCUCGUGCUUGCGAAGACAAUAUUUGACUGAGCAUCAUUUGUCUACGUUCAUCAGCUUCCCUACACAAACGUCCCAAUCAGAGAAUACGUUAGUUCAAAAAUAGAAUUCCAAUGAUACACAAUCACUUGUCAGCUAAUUCAUUUUCAACUAAUACACAACGAUAAACACCUUUUAGCAUCAUCCUGUUGUUUCUCUUGCUCUGGAUUCUGCUGCUUACCCUGCUAAAUUAUACAGUUUCGUGAAGAUCUCUAAAUGGAAAACAAGGCACAAAAGUACACAUUUUUUUUGAAGAAAUCAGAUAUCAGUUAAGGUAGUAAAAAACUAAAAAUUACCAUGCCUUGACGAGCCAUAAGCUCUUGCAUUCUCCUCUGUCUAAUAGCUUCUAGUUCAGGAUCCGCCUACACAUCAGGAAGUAAAAAAGAACAGAUAUAAACAUAACAAUGCAGUGUCACAAUAACUGAAGAUUAGUCAAUCAAAGAAAACAAUCGACUAGAGAUAAGCAAAUAUAACUCAAAUAAUGCCAAAGUGCAAUGAAAGUAACCAGAUAGAGAUGAGUAUAAGUUUUGAUCAUCAAUUAUAUCUAGGCGAAUACAAUGAUUUGAUUUCACUAAAGCUACUACAGCUCAAGAACCAUGAAAUGGAGAAAAGAAUCCUUUGACGGAAACCGAAUCAACAAGUAAAUCAGUGUGCAAAAGCAACAGAAUCCAAAGGAAAUAAUUUACAAAUUUAUGAUGAAACAUGGAAUCACACUCUUAUUCAAACAACAAGACAGAUUCAAAAAUAAAUUAAAAAACUCAAGCAGAUCCACUUAUACUGAUUCAAACCAUCAUGGAAUAUCAAAUCUCUAAACUAUCAAACUUGGUACUGAUACUUUGCACAAGGUUGUCCCAACUAAAGAUUGAAUCUAAUACCCAGUUUCAAUCAUGUAUAAUUGUUCAAAUCACGUUCUAACUUAGGCAUAACCUCGUAGAGAAAAUUCCCCAAAAACCCUAAGCAAUUCGAGUUUCCCAGAGAAAAAAAGCUAAUUGAAAGACGCGUAAAUAACAUUGGAGAUAUCAAUCUCACCAUUGGAGCAGUGUUCGUCUCUUUCCUCUGGUAUCCCAAAUCGAAAUCGCGCCUUCACCUCAAAAAGCCAACACAGAGCUCUCUCUCUCUCUCUAAAAGGAGAAAUGCUUCAAAAACCCAAACGUAGCUUUUGUUAGACGCGCUUCAUAUCACAGUCUGUCUCUUUUUUUACAUAUUCUCCAAUUUAUUUAUAAGUUUUACUAAUAAUAGCCAUAAACUUAUGAUUUCAACAUUUUACCCCCUUCCUCUAUCUAAACGUCAUAAUACGUAUCGUAUUUUAAAAUUAGUAACUAAAUUUGAAAUUAUAAAAUGUCAUCAUCCAUUAUCGUAUUUUGUUAACACGUAUCGUUCUAUUUUGUUAACACGUGCCAGUUUUUGGAUUUUUUUUCCAUAAAUUGUAUUACACUAAUAACAAAUCUCUUCCAACAAAUUAAGGAAACAAGUUGAGAAUGGAUUCGUCUAAGGGAAGCUCAGCUGCUAGUAUACAGAAGAUUGUGAUUCCCAACAGCAACAACGAGAAGCUGGUCGGUCUGCUUCAUGAAACUGGUUCUACUGAAGUUGUGGUCUUGUGCCAUGGUUUCCUAUCAAACAAGGUUAGUUUUGGUCUCAUUCUCAGAUCUCUUGUGGAACUACUGAGAUUUUGAGACUUGAUUCAGUUCCCAAUUAUAAACCACUUUGUGUUCUGUAAGAUUCAUUAAUAAACUCACUCAAGUAGCUUAUAAAGAUUCAUUAAUGAUUUAGUUGACCAUUUAGGGAUUUGUAGGCCAAAGGAGUUCUUACAUAAAUGAACUUGUCCUUUGGGUUAUGAACUUAUGCAGAAUGAUCCAGUCAUCAAAAAUGUUGCUGUUGCUUUAGAAAAAGAAGGGAUCAGUGCUUUCCGGUUUGAUUUCUCUGGAAAUGGGUGUGUUUUCUCUUGCUUGGUUUAUCAUUGUUUUUGCAUAGGUGAAUGAGAGAAUUUGGAUUUUGUUUAGAGAUCUUUGAGGUCAUUGCUGAAUGCAGAGAGAGUGAAGGCAGUUUCUAUUUUGGUAACUACAACUAUGAAGCUGAUGAUCUACGUUCUGUUAUCCAAUACUUCACUAACAUGAACCGUGUGGUUCCUAUAAUUCUCGGCCACAGUAAAGGUAACAACACAAGGGGUGUGAAUCUGACAAUUGCAAGAAUCUCAAAACUAUAUAUUUUGACAUUGCAUAUAUUGCAUAUAUAUAUAUAUAUAGGAGGUGAUGUGGUCCUUGUCUAUGCCUCGAGGUUUCAUGAUAUCCGCAAUGUGAUCAAUCUCUCCGGAUAUUCUGAUCUCAAGAGAAGCUUAGUAAUGCGUCUUGGUGAAAAUUAUUUGGAAAGAAUUACGCAACAGGGUUACAUCGAUGCUGAAGAAUGUAAUGUUAUCUCUCUCUUUACUUUUACUCUACAGUCUCAGAUAAGUAAUCUAGUGUGUCUUUUGUUUUAAUGUGCUGGUCUGUUACACAGAUAAUAUCAAGUAUCGUGUUACUAAGGAGAGUUUAAUGGAAAGGCUAAACACUGAUAUGCAUGAAGUUUGCCUCAAGAUUGACAAAGAAUGCAGGUGAGAUUGAUUCGCCGAGUUUUUGGACUAUGAAGAAACCAUGAUUGAUUGAAAUGGUGGCAGGGUCUUGACGGUUCAUGGAUCAGCUGACGAAAUAAUACCCUGGGAAGACGCCAAGGAGUUUGAGAAGAUCAUACACAACCACAAGCUGGAGAUUCUGGAAGGAGCUGAUCAUUGUUAUACCAAACAUCUAAGUCAACUAGUUACAACAGUUAUGGAGUUCAUAAAGACAGUCAUUGUCAACCACUAGUUUUCGUUUGUUUGUUUUUCUCUUUUGACUAAUGUUCAUGAUGCAUAAUACUGCUAUAAACACCACCAGGCGGUGACUGAAUGAUUUGCCCCGUAUGAUGGGUCUAGAAUCAUGGAACAUUACAAUCACACAACAGUCAUCGUUUGUCUCGGAGCACACAACAUUACUUAGUAGCAAGCACUUCGUUAGCUUGCAAACCUAGAAGCAAGUUCAGCCUCUACUUGUCUGUGGCUCGCAUCACAUGGAAUACAUGAAUAUAUGGUCAAAUGGUAAAGAAAAAGAUGAUUGCACAUAGAUAUUUAACAGAGACCUAGUCUUAAGAGCUUUUGUUAUCUCAAUGAUUCCGACAAUUUUAUAUCCUUUAAACAACAGUAUGGCAAUUGACAAGUAUCAUCUUAAAUUAGUAUUAUCAAUACAAAAACUGAUUCAGAGUUUGUUUAUUGGAUGAGAAUAUAAUCAGCAUCAAAUAUAUCUCCAGCUGUAGGAGAGAGGUUGUUUCUACGGAGCUGGGCAUGACUCUCUGCUUCGUGUUGAAAUAUCUUGACCACAUCUUGUAGCUCCAGCUUUCUAACUUCCACUUGUUCUUCUGUGAUGGGUUGUUUAAGCCCCAAGUACACCAGACCAACCGCAAUCAAAACACCUCCAAUGAGAAGCAUAAGGAUAGUGAACAAAAGAAACGCAUAAGGCGUGUUCUGCGCCCCUGGGAUACCAUCAACGUUGAUCCCAAACAGCCCUACAAUUAUAGUAAGCACUAGACCGCAUCCUCCAAAGACGGCCAAGUUGUGGCUUACUCGUAAGCUUUUGUCCUGAAAGUGUAAAUUGGGUUUUUAGCCAAAGAGAUCCAUUAUGCUAGAUGUAUGAGUCAUACAAUGAUAAUUUAGUUCAAGGUCUAGGAAGAACCUGCAACCAAGCGCGAACACUGCUUUGCAUAACAUCUUGAAUUGUGAAGAGACGUCCACGGACCGCUUCUUGUUCUUCCAACAUUUCUCUUGUGUUCUUCCUCAGACUCUCUAACAAAUGUCGAGGUAUGUUUCCCCUUAGAUGCUGAAGAAGCUCAAAGAUAAUCUCCUCUCUUGCGUGUAGUGACCACUUCACUCGGAUGACCUGCCAUGAGAAAACAAAGACUUCACGUUCAUGACUAUCGUUCAAUUUGUCCAACAUGUACACAUUCUGUCUCAAUUAUAACAUCAAAAGAGGCUUUGCCAACAAAAGACCAGUCAUAUUCCAUUUAAUUUGUAUUGAGGUUAGCUACAUUAAAAUAGAAGAUGACCUGUCUCGAUAACUUUCUGAUCUCUUGGUUGAGAAUGAUACUGAAAAGAUUCAAAUCCUCAUGGUUUCUCCUAAUAACAAGAAAAGAUAGAGUUUGUUACCAAAACAUGUAUUGUUUAUCAGCCCAAAAAAAUGGAUAUGUAUAUGUAAGAACCUGUUCAUAAACUUCAAUUCGAUUUCAUCCGCCGCACCAAAUAUGGAUUUACGGAACAAUCUAUCACCAAUCAAUGAAAACAAAAAGAUCUAGUUAGAUACAGUCUAGAAAAUAACAUUAUAUAUAUAGAAAGCAAGUCGCUUGUUUGGGCAGCAAAACUAGACAAGUCUUAAUUGAAGAAAAGAUAAAUCAGAAAUCUCUCGUCACCUAUCAUCCCAUCGAGAAAGACGGCAAGCCAAGUGUGCUAUGACUUCAUGAAUCGUCUUUGGUACAUUAUAUCCUCCUGCAUAAAGCAACUCCUAUAAUAUAAAAGUUUUUUUUUUUUUAACGUAUGUUAGUAACUGCAGGCCUAUGAUAUUUAAGCUUUAAAAACUUAUCAAGUAGAACAUUUUGACAGUUUCAAAAACAAACCUCUACUUCAGUGAUGCCGAGAACAUUAGUAUUUGAUACAUUUCCUUUUAUGUGCAUCACAGAUACCAAAAAGUUUUUCGCUUGCCAAGAGCGAAAUACAACAGGUACAUCAUCCUCACUGAUUACUGGAUCACCGACUGAUUGUCCUAAGAGCUCAAACAAUAAACCCCCAGCAACCCUCACUGGAACCUAAGCAAAUUAAUAGGAAAAAAAAAUUAGACAAAACAUCCACCAAAAUAAAUUGUAAUAAUCCGUUCAAGUAACAUGAAAAUCUUUAUUAUGUUAAGAGACCAUCACACAUCUUUUAUCCUAUCAAAAACCAAUAUAACGGCAGUGUUUUGAACAAGUCUGCCUAUUGACUGUAAACACUCAACUUGCAUGUUUUGAUUGGAAACAAGGGACAUAUACCUCAUAUAGAAGGUGUCUCAUCCGUUCACUUAUUAGCUUACUUUCAUCCCUCAAUGCGAGACUAAUCGCAGGAUGCAACCAUGUAGCACAUCUAAGCCAUCCCUCGACAAAAGAAUGUCCGGCAGCCAAGUGGCACCACCAUGUAGGGCCACCUGGUCGUUCCCAGUACGGAGCAGCUAAAUCAGUAACAGGGACAUCCUCUUCAUCAUCAAUUAACUCCAAGUUAGGCCACUCAGCGUUCACUUGAACCAUUUGAACAAGUUCAGAUAUCCUAGUCCAGCCAAUAGGAACCCAAUGACUCCCUUCAUAUCUCUCAUGAAGCACAUGAGCCUCUUUCAAAUCCAAAGAAGGUACCGACCUCGACCUUGAUAUAUCGACGAGAGAAGAAUCAACAAACGGGUUAUGACCAGGGGAAGCAUGUCUGGUUAGUCCAUCUUCAUGCUUCAAGCAACUUUUGUCCGGAUGUUUCGAGUCAACAUGUUUUUUCGGGCCUCGGAUAAACUCAAAGGCGCAAAUAAUCCCAUCAGUCCAAAGAUCACUCUUGGGAACACCUGAAUGGUUUUUGCUGUCAACCUUGUUGGAUUUGCUCUCUUGAGAAACUGAAUGAUUCUCCCCGUUUUCAACCAUGGUCAAAUCAAAUAUAAAACCUACCACAGCUUCUUCUACUGCAUGUAUCAAAAAUCAUCAUUCACAUCAGCAUCUAAGACAUAUAAUUUAAAACUCUCAGUGUAUGAAAUCAAAGCAGCAAAUAUAACAGGAGCGCCAAAUACUGCAAAUCAACAAAUACUAGAAAAUUACAUGCAAGAAACAGAAUCAGUGUACGGAAUAGCAUCAAUUCAGAAACUCUAGGUUUAAGAUCGAAUAUCUUUAUCAUCAUACAAAUCGUAUGUUUCAGUUAAAGUAACCUCUAGUAAGGGUUUUGGUAGAAACCCAGAAUUCAUAAUUAGAAAUAUCAAAGUUCAAAAUUAUAUAUAAACCAAAGAUGAAGAUGAUUGAGAUAAGUUAGAGAGACACAAAUCCAAACUGAUAAAGAUCAUAAAAAGUGAUUUUUCACUGGUAUAUAGAGGAUUUCUAGUUCAAAUGUGAUUCUCUAACUUAAGAAACAUGAAACAUCUCCAAGAAAAAUAAACAACAAAUCUCACCAUAGACGCAGUUGUAUAUCUGUUCUGAAGAUAUCAAAUCCUCAACUCUUACAGAGUUCGCAACCACACUGAUAAAGGAAUACUUUUCAUUUUAUUUUUCUUGACACUUUUUUAUAUAUUUGUUCUUUCUCUUUACACCCUAAUUAGGAAUACUCUACAAGCAAAUAGCGGCUUUAAGAGACGCGCGUCAAAGUUUUCACAUAUUAGCUCCAAAUCUUUUAGAUUCUUACAUAUUUAGCCAUAAACUUAUGAAUUGUUACAUUUAACACCCAUCACUUUCAUAAAACUCUCACCGGAAGUCUCUCUGUUCCGCAACCGCUGCGACACCAAUGAGUCGGCUUUUGCUUCCUAAACUUUUCUUAAUCUCUAAAACACAGGUUAACCAAAUUAUCUCUCUUUCUUCGUUGUAUGUGUGUAUUAUCAGGAUUUGCGUGUGUUAACCUCUCACAUUUGUUUUGUGUGUGAUCACUUUUUAGGUUCCAGCUGCAUCAUUGUUCCAUAAUCUGUACGGACGUCACAGACGGUAAUGAUUCUGAAAUUGGUUUUAAUACUUAACCUGGGUUGGAUAUGUGUUUAUCUUUCAGGUUUUUGUUGUUGUUGUUGUGGUUUGAAUCUGAACAAGUGAAAUCGAAUUCACUGGUUUGUUUAAUACCUACCUAGAGCUUCUUGUGUAGUUUUGAUCAUAUGUAAAUGAACAAGUUCAUUACUUUUGUUGUAUUUGAUGUUAUUCUCCAUUUGAUUGAGUUACAUAGAGGACAAGUUUCUCUGGGAUUUACACAAGUCUUAGCAUGUAAAGAUAAAAUAUUUUUGGCGAUUUUUCUUGCAGCUUUGUUCAUUGGAUGAGUGACAUGUCACAUGAUGGUGUAAGAUCAUCCACAAUUGGUGGUUCUGCUUCUGGAGCUAGAACAUUUUGCUCCCUAGAAGGUAAAACAAUUAGUCAGUCAUUCCAGCUGCUUUACAACUUGAUAUUUGAAUCAAAAUUUGCUUGUGUUUGUAGGGUUUUUGAUGUAUAUGAACCCGAUUGAUUGAGUUCUAUAUCGUAUGUGGCGAACAUAUGUCCUCUUAUAGAGAAAUUAUAUUAGGCAGCCGGAGCUUUUUCUGUAAUGUAAAACCAGCAAAUGAUGAUAACUCAGCUCUGUAUUAGUAGAACAACUUCUAUUGGAGACUCCUUAGAGUCUUCCAUCUCUAUUUUAGAUAAAUCCGUGGUGAAUUAGAGGCAAGAUGAUGACAAGGCAGGAAGAAUAUGUUUCAGAUAAGUGUCAUUCGUCCAUUGUGUAACUCAAUGGAAAGACAAGAGUUACACUAGAUAGACUUUAAGUAUCAGUAUCAUCCUUCACAUAUCGUUUGUCAUAUCAUAGGCCUUAGCUAAAGUAGUUUUCUGGUGUAUUACAGUAAAUUUCAACUUUUUUUUCAUGUUGUUUCUAAAGUUUUGGUGGAGAUUGCUAUAAUUUCCUUGUUACUGCCCUCAUGAACAACUUCUUCACCCAAUUGGUUAAAAUAUGGAUUUGAUAUUUAUUUUCUUCAGCAUAUGUAAUCAAAAACUCCUAAAGUAUGUAACUUUUUCACUAAUAUGGUAUUCUGAUUUUAUAUUUUUGGUUCUUAGAUUUAUUAGCCAAAAAGUGUGUGCCAUGCAAUUCAAAGGAUCUGCGGCCCAUGACUGAACAAAGUGCCCAGGAUCUACUUCAAAAUGUAAUAUGUUAGUAUUUCUUGUUAUGGCUGGUGAGGUCUAUGGUAUGCAUCCCUCCUCAAUUAUUCCUUUUACACAGGUUGCUGGAUGGAAUUUAGCCAAUGAAAAUGAUACAUUAAAGCUGCAUCGGUCAUGGAGAGUGAAAAGUUUUACAAAAGGGCUAGAUUUCUUCAAACGUGUAGCUGAUAUCGCUGAAUCAGAAGGUAAAUAAAUCAUCAGCAAUACAUCACACGUGUUCUGUGACCCUUCUGAAUAAGAUUUUAAAAAGAUAGCUCAAGGAAGACCUGUUACUGUUUUAUCUCACGCAUGGACUGGUAUGAUGCAGGUCAUCACCCAGAUUUGCAUCUGGUCGGCUGGAAUAAUGUGAAAAUCGAGAUAUGGACACAUGCUAUAGGUGAGAAUCAUAGUCUUUGUUGUUGAUAUGAAGAUAUGAAUCAUAUAUUAAUUGCCUGAACCUUAAGAAGCCCCUCAUCCGACAACUAUUUAUUUUGUGAACUUUAUAAGUUGCUAGUGCAGACUAAGUCUUAAGUGAUAUUGGAUUUUCUUGCAACAGGUGGUUUGACGGAAAACGACUUCAUUCUUGCUGCUAAGAUCAACGAGCUCCAAGUGGAAGAUCUUCUGAGGAAGAAGAAAGUUGCCAAAUGAAAUGGAAUUGAAAUGAAUUCUGCAAGCUAAAGAAACAUAGUAAAAGACUACUUCAGAGUUCGACAUAAAUAAGCAUCUUGAGCUCUUUAUUGGGAUGUGUUGGUCUUAAAACUCUGUGAAGUUUACCCGAGCUAUAAAUCUAUGUAGGAUGAGAACAAAAUGAUAGAGAGAUUAAUGUUCCUUCAGCGUAUGUGGUUCUUGUAAACCAAAAUCUCAAACCCAUAAAAUGAGGCAGUGGCUUUAAGUUUGUAACAAGUAUCAUUCAUUCCGGAACAAUUUAUAAUUUUAGAUAUACCAUAAUGUUAUAUAUGUUUUAUUUACAACCACAAAGGCACAAACUAUCCAAACCUCCAUAAACUAUGUACAUUCAAGAAUUGCAUGAAUCUAUAUACAGGAUUGUUGUCAUUCUUCCUAAGAGAUGAAUUCAACAAGUUCAGUCUUCAGACAACGAAGGAAUUGCCGGAGACGGAACAGUUUCACUGCACACCAACAAGAAAUUUUCCAGGUCAAUAUCUUUUCCAUCAUUAAAGUCAGUAUUACAAAUUCCCUUCAACUGUGUUAAAAUCACCUCCCCAUCUUCUGAUACAGAUCACCUAGCGCACGGUAGAGAGCAGCAGCAGCAGGUGGUCUUGGCAAAGAGCCAAGGAGGAUGUCCGACGCAGCUAGGGAUUGGCUCCCAUAGAACCGUGAAUUCUCACUUGUACGUGUCGUGAAGAUGCUUCCUUCAAGCGAGCAUCCAACAAAUGCACCUGUUCAUUUAAAGAAGGAUAUACAGAUUAAUUAUGAGGCUUAGUUUAACAAACGAUUUUUAGUAGAAUUAUUGUAAUGGUUUCAGACCUAUAGUGGCCUAUAAAAUCUCGUUUUAGACAUGGAAGGGAAAAGUCUAAAAUCCAUUAACCAAAAUUAAGCUACUAAAAACUAUUUUGGCUAGAGACACAUGAAUCAGAUGGUUACCUUUGCUGCAGCUGUAGGUAUAGCAAGCAGCAUAUCCACCGCUACCUGCUCGGAUAUCCGCUUCAACUGCUCGUCCAGUCACACCAACUGCAGCGCUUAAACCAGCUCCAACAACUAGAUGGGUGUUACUCCCAAACGUUUGGAUGGCUUCACGAGUUCUCAGAACGAUAAUGAAGUCUAUAAACUCUCCUCCUGCCUACAGGUGAGUGAUGAGAAUAUAGAACAAACACUAUUUGCAAUAUCUACUGAUUACUAAAAGAGCUACGUUACCUGAGCACCCCAUCCCAAACCAAAUGAAGAAAUGGCGGAGGGUGGAGACCAGGAGCCAUCAUCUCUACGAGCAACCACAAGUCCAGUCCCAAUUUUGUAUGUAACCAUAACUCCAACUCUGGCAACAGUGAUUACUGCAAGACCUUUUGCUUGUCUUAAAAUAGCAUCUGGGAUGGACCUCUCAGUUCUUGAAGAACCAACCUGUUGAGAUUAAGAUAGUUUCAAAUUAAAGACACACACACCGCUCUUAGAAUUCCAGGUAUUUCAUGGACAGAGACUAGCCGGGCAUUUACGCAGUGAUAUAAUUGAAAUAUAAGAAUGCUCACAAAUUAAAAUAGUUGAUAGUGAGCUCAGGACCCACAAAUCUCACCUUGGUUAUAUAACCCCGAAUAGUGUUUGUUGCCUUAUAAAUCUCAUACUCCAUGGAUUGUCCCCAUGGAAAAUUCACCCAAGACCUCAAUGUACUAAGAUCUGUCAAAUCAUGGGUUGGCAACUGAGCAGCAGGACUCACUUGGUCCAUCAAAUAAGGCUGCACAGAUUCCAACCUCACAAAACACACAUCACAAACCCUUUGGGGAUCUGAAACACGAAACUUUGCAGGAACCAAGCUUCUUCCUUUAGAACAGUCCCUACAGAAUAUUCCUCCACAAUAUCGACAAUGAUGACGGGAACACAUAAUUGGAUGAAACCUCACACUACAUAGCAUACACGCAGAAGCGGCACUAUCUGGUAGCCACUUGGGUGGCUCAGUUUCCAGAAUUUCUCUUGCGUUACCAAAGUUAGCCUCGGUGAGAGUAUGAGCCAUCUCUUGCCAAGCUUGUUCAAGAAGAUGUCCGGACAAAAAAUUAAUGCCACAUCUCUCAAGAUUGCCAGAACUAAGAGCACUCGCUUUACCACGUGCUGCAAGCAACAUAUCAACUAUCACAUCCCACAUAGUUAACUCCUUGUCUUCAUCAAAUAUCUGGUUCCAUCCCAUAUCUCCUUCGGGGAAGUACCCACCAUUGAAACUAAGGCCUCUUGACCACUCCUCAUGAUCAGGUUCUAACAUGGGCGGGACUGAAACAGGUAUCCAAACCCCGGUUUCUUCAGAAAGCGGCGUGUCAUAGAAAAAAUAUUUACCGCGCUUUUGAUCAUCCGGUUCCAGUGUUUUGCUCUCUUCAACAAAGCCAUCACAUAAGCCAGAAUCAUCUUCUCUAAUAUCCUUUAUGCUUUGAUUAACAACGAUAUUACCAGCAUCAGAAUCACCGUGAGAACCACGAGUUUCUCGAUCUCUUUCAUCCUAUGAUCACCAUUUAACAAACCAUUUUCAAGCUUAAAUUUUAGACCUUUAACUUUAAUCAACAAUCAAAACUGAAACAGAGGUGAGAUGUCUAUAAGCUAACGAUCAUCAUAAAUAUUUACUCAUCCUCUAUUAUCACAAUUUUUUUUUUUGAAUUGAAGUGAUAACCCUAGAAAAUUUGUAUGAUUGCGUACAAAUUAGAAAGAAGUAAAUUGUGAGUAGAAUCAAAAUCGGUAAGCAAUCAAACUCACCAUAUCGUAGACUUGUUCUUCUUCUCGAUUGCGAAGCUAAUCUUCUAUUCUUACAAUUUUGAGUGAUUUUGGAGGAAACUCAGAAACACGACUCUGUUCAGGAAAAGAACGAUUACAACUUUACAAGUUAACACCGUCGCUAACCUUUCUGAGACGCGACCACAUAAUCAACAUAUACAUCUUUACUCAAUUUUACAGUUUAGUCCUCAUAUUUUCUAACUCUUAAUACAUUUGACACCAAACUAUCAUUAAUUAAUAUAUUUACCCCCAUUAUUAUUGUGGCAGGAGAGUAUGUUAAAAAUGUCGGUAAGGCAAGUAGUUAAUGUCUCCUCUAUGGGACAUGAUAAGCUCGCUUGGGUGGGUUCUACCUAUAGACUUUAUUGAGCUUAGUUAAAGACCUAGAGUGAAACAAGAUCAAGGCAUAAAUCUUGAUCAUGGAAAUCAUGUAUUACUUCCUUUGAUUGUUUGAAUUUGGAUAGAGUAAAUUAGGAGAGUACGAGCUGAUCUUGAUUGUGCAUUUAUAAGAUCUUUGUUGGAGAGCAAAGCAAAACAACUUGCAGGUUGAGGUCAAGUUCGGA